This 449-nucleotide ribosomal RNA is filed under the name uncultured bacterium. RNAcentral's name for it is "partial 16S ribosomal RNA". It matches the Rfam family "Bacterial small subunit ribosomal RNA", at positions 29 to 523 of the family's 1533-position model. The record is from RNAcentral.
AACGAACGCUGGCGGCAGGCUUAACACAUGCAAGUCGAACGCAUCCUUCGGGGUGAGUGGCAGACGGGUGAGUAACGCGUGGGAACGUGCCCUUCAGUUCGGAAUAACCCAGGGAAACUUGGGCUAAUACCGGAUACGUGCGAGAGCAGAAAGAUUUAUCGCUGAAGGAUCGGCCCGCGUCUGAUUAGCUAGUUGGUGAGGUAAUGGCUCACCAAGGCGACGAUCAGUAGCUGGUCUGAGAGGAUGAUCGGCCACAUUGGGACUGGGACACGGCCCAAACUCCUACGGGAGGCAGCAGUGGGGAAUAUUGGACAAUGGGCGCAAGCCUGAUCCAGCCAUGCCGCGUGAGUGAUGAAGGCCUUAGGGUUGUAAAGCUCUUUCAGUGGGGACGAUAAUGACGGUACCCGCAGAAGAAGCCCCGGCUAACUUCGUGCCAGCAGCAGCCGCGG